RNAcentral lists this ribosomal RNA (324 nucleotides) under uncultured eukaryote. Its description in RNAcentral is "partial 18S ribosomal RNA". It matches the Rfam family "Eukaryotic small subunit ribosomal RNA", at positions 1470 to 1796 of the family's 1831-position model. The record is from RNAcentral.
CCCUUAGAUGUUCUGGGCCGCACGCGCGCUACACUGAAGGGAUCAGCGUGUUUUCCCUUUCCGAGAGGAACGGGUAACCCGCUGAACCCCCUUCGUGGUAGGGAUCGGAGCUUGCAAUUGUUCUCCGUGAACCAGGAAUUCCUAGUAGACGCGAGUCAUAAGCUCGCAUCGAUUAAGUCCCUGCCCUUUGUACACACCGCCCGUCGCUACUACCGAUUGAACGUUUUAGUGAGGCAUUUGGACCGACGCAUCUCAGUUUAACCGCUGGUUUGUGUUGGAAAGACUUCCAAACUUGAGCGUUUAGAGGAAGUAAAAGUCGUAACA